AAAGUCUAUGCCUGAACUGUGCUUCUGUGAUUAAUGGCCCUUGCUUCGCUCCAGCAUAGCUCUUUCCUUAAGGAGAUGAGAGAGAGGCAAGUUAGAAUUAUGUAAGGUAAAAAAAAAUUGAAUGCAUUUUGUUUUUCAUCAGUUUUCAGAGCUUGCAAAUCACUAUUCGAAUCGCAUAGCCCUGAAAAAAUAGAACAGGAAUAUCGGGUGUUAUGACAGAGUAAUAUAUACUGAACGCAUUGUGAUUCAUCCUGGGGAAAUCAUCUCAGAAGAAAAGGAACAGAACCGAGCUAAAGGCACUGUUGCGAACUGGAUGAAAGGAAAUGAAUUCAUCUAUGCAGUCUCGACUUUUGUCAGUCAGUAUGUGCCGGGAUAAAAUUAUGACUAAGGUAAUCGAUAUGAAUCAUCAAGAAAGGUGACUUUAGAAUCUGUCUAGACUUGACCAAGCUCGUAAUGUAACUCCACUUAAUUGGAAAGCCUGUCUUAUAGUAUUGAUUAGGAAUGUCACAUGAAAAGAAUCAUACCAUGUGUAACCUUUAAAAUGGGCUUCUUUCAUAGAGCAGAAUGCAUUUGAGAUUCACCCCUGCCAUGGUAACAACACAGGAGAUCCUGCGCGUUGGAGAAUUCCUUUAUCAGGAAGUAUCAGAUUGGCCCUUUGUCCUUCAUGCCUUCUUGUGAGUCAGUCCUUUCUCUGUCUGCCCUCCACAAUAAAUAAAAUAUCUAUUAGUGUGAAAUGA
Long non-coding RNA from Cavia porcellus (domestic guinea pig), 737 nucleotides. RefSeq lists it as uncharacterized. NCBI's taxonomy places the organism in Eukaryota, Metazoa, Chordata, Mammalia, Rodentia, Caviidae. The record is from RefSeq and is a predicted model, not a curated record. The transcript is spliced from 4 exons.